UCGAGGGGUAUAGUUCUUCGGAAUUAGAGACCGGCGCACGGGUGCGUAACGCGUAUGCAAUCUACCUUUUACAGAGGGAUAGCCCAGAGAAAUUUGGAUUAAUACCUCAUAGUAUGGCGACAUCGCAUGAUGAUGCCAUUAAAGACACAACGGUAAAAGAUGAGCAUGCGUCCCAUUAGCUAGUUGGUAAGGUAACGGCUUACCAAGGCUACGAUGGGUAGGGGUCCUGAGAGGGAGAUCCCCCACACUGGUACUGAGACACGGACCAGACUCCUACGGGAGGCAGCAGUGAGGAAUAUUGGACAAUGGGCGCAAGCCUGAUCCAGCCAUGCCGCGUGCAGGAUGACGGUCCUAUGGAUUGUAAACUGCUUUUGUACGGGAAGAAACACUCCUUCGUGAAGGAGCUUGACGGUACCGUGAGAAUAAGGAUCGGCUAACUCCGUGCCAGCAGCCACGGUAAUACGGAGGAUCCAAGCGUUAUCCGGAAUCAUUGGGUUUAAAGGGUCCGUAGGCGGUUUAGUAAGUCAGUGGUGAAAGCCCAUCGCUCAACGGUGGAACGGCCAUUGAUACUGCUAGACUUGAAUUAUUAGGAAGUAACUAGAAUAUGUAGUGUAGCGGUGAAAUGCUUAGAGAUUACAUGGAAUACCAAUUGCGAAGGCAGGUUACUACUAAUGGAUUGACGCUGAUGGAC
RNAcentral lists this ribosomal RNA (691 nucleotides) under uncultured Bacteroidota bacterium. Its description in RNAcentral is "bacterial SSU rRNA". It matches the Rfam family "Bacterial small subunit ribosomal RNA", at positions 62 to 754 of the family's 1533-position model. Lineage: Bacteria; Pseudomonadati; Bacteroidota. The record is from RNAcentral.